Molecule: long non-coding RNA, 339 nt
Organism: Acanthopagrus latus (yellowfin seabream)
Lineage: Eukaryota; Metazoa; Chordata; Actinopteri; Spariformes; Sparidae
Exons: 3
Source: RefSeq, a predicted model, not a curated record
GUAGCGGUCUCAGAGGACGAGGAGCCGUUUCUAAACGGCUCCUCAGGAUGGGAACCAGGCCAAACGCUUGAGGUGGGCUGAGAAAUACAAGAAUUCCACAGUGGAUGAUGAAAGAAGUCAGUCAUGAUUCCAAGACACCAGAGUUUGCUUCAGGCUGCUCGUCGGACCAGAUGGUCGAGGUUUGUACUGCAGCACGACUCUUCGCACGGCGCCAGACAGCGAGCCCAACACGCGCAGAGCUGUGCUGAUCUGACUUGCAAACUGGUUGCAGCAGCAGCACCAUCUGAUUCAACUUCAUGGAAAUCAGCAGUGGACGGUGUUUCCCUCCUGUGGAUUUGA